UACCUGGUUGAUUCUGCCAGUAGUCAUAUGCUUGUCUCAAAGAUUAAGCCAUGCAUGUCUAAGUAUAAGCACUUAUACCGUGAAACUGCGAAUGGCUCAUUAAAUCAGUUAUCGUUUAUUUGAUAGUACCUUACUACAUGGAUACCCGUGGUAAUUCUAGAGCUAAUACAUGCUAAAAACCUCGACUUCGGAAGGGGUGUAUUUAUUAGAUAAAAAACCAAUGCCCUUCGGGGCUCCUUGGUGAUUCAUAAUAACUUGUCGAAUCGCAUGGCCUUGUGCUGGCGAUGGUUCAUUCAAAUUUCUGCCCUAUCAACUUUCGAUGGUAGGAUAGUGGCCUACCAUGGUGGCAACGGGUAACGGGGAAUUAGGGUUCGAUUCCGGAGAGGGAGCCUGAGAAACGGCUACCACAUCCAAGGAAGGCAGCAGGCGCGCAAAUUACCCAAUCCCAACACGGGGAGGUAGUGACAAUAAAUACUAAUACAGGGCUCUUUCGGGUCUUGUAAUUGGAAUGAGUACAAUUUAAAUCCCUUAACGAGGAACAAUUGGAGGGCAAGUCUGGUGCCAGCAGCCGCGGUAAUUCCAGCUCCAAUAGCGUAUAUUAAAGUUGUUGCAGUUAAAAAGCUCGUAGUUGAACCUUGGGUCUGGCUGGCCGGUCCGCUUCACGGCGUGCACUGGUCCGGCUGGACCUUUCCUUCUGGGGAGCCCUAUGGCCUUCACUGGCUGUAGGGGGAACCAGGACUUUUACUGUGAAAAAAUUAGAGUGUUCAAAGCAGGCCUUUGCUCGGAUACAUUAGCAUGGAAUAAUAGAAUAGGACGUGUGGUUCUAUUUUGUUGGUUUCUAGGACCGCCGUAAUGAUUAAUAGGGAUAGUCGGGGGCGUCAGUAUUCGGCUGUCAGAGGUGAAAUUCUUGGAUUUGCUGAAGACUAACUACUGCGAAAGCAUUCGCCAAGGAUGUUUUCAUUAAUCAGUGAACGAAAGUUAGGGGAUCGAAGUCGAUCAGAUUCCGUCGUA
This is a ribosomal RNA of 1011 nucleotides. It matches the Rfam family "Eukaryotic small subunit ribosomal RNA", at positions 1 to 1022 of the family's 1831-position model. The record is from Rfam.